This 876-nucleotide ribosomal RNA is filed under the name Halomonas sp. RNAcentral describes it as "bacterial SSU rRNA". It matches the Rfam family "Bacterial small subunit ribosomal RNA", at positions 60 to 932 of the family's 1533-position model. Lineage: Bacteria; Pseudomonadati; Pseudomonadota; Gammaproteobacteria; Oceanospirillales; Halomonadaceae. The record is from RNAcentral.
AGUCGAGCGGUAACAGAUCCAGCUUGCUGGAUGCUGACGAGCGGCGGACGGGUGAGUAAUGCAUAGGAAUCUGCCCGAUAGUGGGGGAUAACCUGGGGAAACCCAGGCUAAUACCGCAUACGUCCUACGGGAGAAAGGGGGCUCCGGCUCCCGCUAUGGGAUGAGCCUAUGUCGGAUUAGCUAGUUGGUGAGGUAACGGCUCACCAAGGCCACGAUCCGUAGCUGGUCUGAGAGGAUGAUCAGCCACAUCGGGACUGAGACACGGCCCGAACUCCUACGGGAGGCAGCAGUGGGGAAUAUUGGACAAUGGGGGAAACCCUGAUCCAGCCAUGCCGCGUGUGUGAAGAAGGCCCUCGGGUUGUAAAGCACUUUCAGCGAGGAAGAACGCCUAGCGGUUAAUACCCGCUAGGAAAGACAUCACUCGCAGAAGAAGCACCGGCUAACUCCGUGCCAGCAGCCGCGGUAAUACGGAGGGUGCAAGCGUUAAUCGGAAUUACUGGGCGUAAAGCGCGCGUAGGUGGCUUGAUAAGCCGGUUGUGAAAGCCCCGGGCUCAACCUGGGAACGGCAUCCGGAACUGUCAAGCUAGAGUGCAGGAGAGGAAGGUAGAAUUCCCGGUGUAGCGGUGAAAUGCGUAGAGAUCGGGAGGAAUACCAGUGGCGAAGGCGGCCUUCUGGACUGACACUGACACUGAGGUGCGAAAGCGUGGGUAGCAAACAGGAUUAGAUACCCUGGUAGUCCACGCCGUAAACGAUGUCGACCAGCCGUUGGGUGCCUAGCGCACUUUGUGGCGAAGUUAACGCGAUAAGUCGACCGCCUGGGGAGUACGGCCGCAAGGUUAAAACUCAAAUGAAUUUGACGGGGGCCCGCACAAGCGG